UACGAAGGGGGCUAGCGUUGCUCGGAAUCACUGGGCGUAAAGCGCACGUAGGCGGUUCUUUAAGUCAGGGGUGAAAUCCCGGAGCUCAACUCCGGAACUGCCUUUGAUACUGGAGAUCUUGAGUCCGGGAGAGGUGAGUGGAACUCCGAGUGUAGAGGUGAAAUUCGUAGAUAUUCGGAAGAACACCAGUGGCGAAGGCGGCUCACUGGCCCGGUACUGACGCUGAGGUGCGAAAGCGUGGGGAGCAAACAGG
RNAcentral lists this ribosomal RNA (253 nucleotides) under uncultured bacterium. Its description in RNAcentral is "partial 16S ribosomal RNA". It matches the Rfam family "Bacterial small subunit ribosomal RNA", at positions 524 to 776 of the family's 1533-position model. The record is from RNAcentral.